ACUGCUAUCGGAUUGAUACUAAGCCAUGCGAGUCUUUGUAGCAAUACAAGGCAGACGGCUCAGUAACACGUAGUCAAUCUACCCUAUGGACGGGGAUAACCUCGGGAAACUGAGAAUAAUACCCGAUAGAUCAUUAUACCUGGAAUGGUUUAUGGUCGAAAUGAUUUAUCGCCGUAGGAUGGGACUGCGGUCUAUCAGCUUGUUGGUGAGGUAAUGGCCCACCAAGGCUAUAACAGAUACGGGCUCUGAGAGGAGAAGCCCGGAGAUGGGUACUGAGACACGGACCCAGGCCCUAUGGGGCGCAGCAGGCGAGAAAACUUUGCAAUGUGCGAAAGCACGACAAGGUUAAUCCGAGUGUUUUCUGCUAAAGAAAUCUUUUGUCAGUCCUAAAAACACUGAUGAAUAAGGGGUGGGCAAGUUCUGGUGUCAGCCGCCGCGGUAAAACCAGCACCUCAAGUGGUCAGGAGGAUUAUUGGGCCUAAAGCAUCCGUAGCCGGCCGUGUAAGUUUUCGGUUAAAUCUAUACGCUCAACGUAUAGGCUGCCGGGAAUACUGCACAGCUAGGGAGUGGGAGAGGUAGACGGUACUCGGUAGGAAGGGGUAAAAUCCUUUGAUCUAUUGAUGACCACCUGUGGCGAAGGCGGUCUACUAGAACACGUCCGACGGUGAGGGAUGAAAGCUGGGGGAGCAAACCGGAUUAGAUACCCGGGUAGUCCCAGCUGUAAACAAUGCAAACUCAGUGAUGCACUGGCUUGUGGCCAGUGCAGUGCCGCAGGGAAGCCGUUAAGUUUGCCGCCUGGGAAGUACGUACGCAAGUAUGAAACUUAAAGGAAUUUGGCGGGGGAGCACCACAAGGGGUGAAG
This 862-nucleotide ribosomal RNA is filed under the name uncultured archaeon. Its description in RNAcentral is "bacterial SSU rRNA". It matches the Rfam family "Archaeal small subunit ribosomal RNA", at positions 26 to 893 of the family's 1478-position model. The record is from RNAcentral.